UACGUAGGGGGCUAGCGUUGUCCGGAAUCAUUGGGCGUAAAGAGCGUGUAGGCGGUCCGGUAAGUCCGCUGUGAAAGUCGGGGGCUCAACCCUCGAAUGCCGGUGGAUACUGUCGGGCUAGAGUGCGGAAGAGGCGAGUGGAAUUCCUGGUGUAGCGGUGAAAUGCGCAGAUAUCAGGAGGAACACCUGUUGCGAAGGCAGCUCGCUGGGACGUAACUGACGCUGAGACGCGAAAGCGUGGGGAGCAAACAGG
RNAcentral lists this ribosomal RNA (253 nucleotides) under uncultured bacterium. Its description in RNAcentral is "partial 16S ribosomal RNA". It matches the Rfam family "Bacterial small subunit ribosomal RNA", at positions 524 to 776 of the family's 1533-position model. The record is from RNAcentral.